UGGGGAAUAUUGGGCAAUGGACGCAAGUCUGACCCAGCAACGCCGCGUGAAGGAAGAAGGCUUUCGGGUUGUAAACUUCUUUUAAGGGGGAAGAGCAGAAGACGGUACCCCUUGAAUAAGCCACGGCUAACUACGUGCCAGCAGACGCGGUAAUCGAGAUCU
Molecule: ribosomal RNA, 162 nt
Filed under: uncultured bacterium
Lineage: Bacteria
Description: partial 16S ribosomal RNA
Rfam family: Bacterial small subunit ribosomal RNA
Source: RNAcentral